UACGUAGGGUGCAAGCGUUGUCCGGAAUUAUUGGGCGUAAAGAGCGUGUAGGCGGCCAGGUAGGUCUGCUGUGAAAACUCGAGGCUCAACCUCGAGACGUCGGCGGAAACCAUCUGGCUAGAGUCCGGAAGAGGAGAGUGGAAUUCCUGGUGUAGCGGUGGAAUGCGCAGAUAUCAGGAGGAACACCGAUGGCGAAGGCAGGUCACUGGGCCGCAACUGACGCUGAGGAGCGAAAAGCAUGGGGGAGCGAACAGG
RNAcentral lists this ribosomal RNA (255 nucleotides) under uncultured bacterium. RNAcentral describes it as "partial 16S ribosomal RNA". It matches the Rfam family "Bacterial small subunit ribosomal RNA", at positions 524 to 776 of the family's 1533-position model. The record is from RNAcentral.